This 253-nucleotide ribosomal RNA is filed under the name uncultured bacterium. RNAcentral describes it as "partial 16S ribosomal RNA". It matches the Rfam family "Bacterial small subunit ribosomal RNA", at positions 524 to 776 of the family's 1533-position model. The record is from RNAcentral.
UACAGAGGUGGCAAGCGUUGUUCGGAAUUACUGGGCGUAAAGGGCGCGUAGGCGGACAGCUUAGUCAGAGGUGAAAGCCCAGGGCUCAACCUUGGAAUUGCCUUUGAUACUGGCUAUCUUGAGUUCGGGAGAGGUGAGUGGAAUGCCGAGUGUAGAGGUGAAAUUCGUAGAUAUUCGGCGGGACACCAGUGGCGAAGGCGACUCACUGGCCCGAUACUGACGCUGAGGCGCGAAAGCGUGGGGAGCAAACAGG